GACGAACCGUGCGAACGUUGUUCGGAAUCACUGGGCGUAAAGGGCGCGUAGGCGGGCCCGCAAGUCAGGGGUGAAAUCCCACGGCUCAACCGUGGAAGUGCCUUUGAUACUGCGGGUCUCGAGGGAGGUAGGGGCGUGCGGAACUUCCGGUGGAGCGGUGAAAUGCGUAGAUAUCGGAAGGAACACCGGUGGCGAAAGCGGCGCGCUGGACCUCUUCUGACGCUGAGGCGCGAAAGCCAGGGGAGCAAACGGG
RNAcentral lists this ribosomal RNA (253 nucleotides) under uncultured bacterium. RNAcentral describes it as "partial 16S ribosomal RNA". It matches the Rfam family "Bacterial small subunit ribosomal RNA", at positions 524 to 776 of the family's 1533-position model. The record is from RNAcentral.